GAUGAACGCUGGCGGCGUGCCUAAUACAUGCAAGUCGAGCGAAGAGACGAGGAGCUUGCUCCUCUGACGUUAGCGGCGGACGGGUGAGUAACACGUGGAGAACCUACCUAUAAGACUGGGACAACUUCGGGAAACCAGAGCUAAUACCGGAUAAUAUAUUUAACCACAUGUUUCAAGAUUGAAAGACGGUUUUGCUUUCACUUAUAGAUGUAUCCGGUCCUCUUUACCUAUUUGGUAGGUAAACGGCUUACCAAGGCGAGGAUGCUUAGCCGACGUGAGGGUGUGCUGGGACACUGGGAAAGUGACACGGGGUCAGCCUCCUCCGGGAGGCAGCAGUAGGGAAUCUUCCGAAAUGGGCGAAAGCCUGACGGAGCAACGCGGGGUAAGUGAUGAAGGUCUUCGGAUCUUAAACCUUUGUUAUUAGGGAGGAACAAAUGUGUAAGUAAAUAUGCACGUAUUGACGGUACCUACUCAGAAAGCCACGGCUAACUACGUG
Molecule: ribosomal RNA, 496 nt
Filed under: uncultured bacterium
Lineage: Bacteria
Description: partial 16S ribosomal RNA
Rfam family: Bacterial small subunit ribosomal RNA
Source: RNAcentral